RNAcentral lists this ribosomal RNA (500 nucleotides) under uncultured bacterium. RNAcentral's name for it is "partial 16S ribosomal RNA". It matches the Rfam family "Bacterial small subunit ribosomal RNA", at positions 30 to 523 of the family's 1533-position model. The record is from RNAcentral.
AUUGAACGCUGGCGGCAUGCCUUACACAUGCAAGUCGAACGGCAGCACGGGAGCAAUCCUGGUGGCGAGUGGCGAACGGGUGAGUAAAGUAUCGGAACGUGCCCAGUCGUGGGGGAUAACGUAGCGAAAGUUACGCUAAUACCGCAUACGAUCUAUGGAUGAAAGCGGGGGAUCGCAAGACCUCGCGCGAUUGGAGCGGCCGAUAUCAGAUGAGGUAGUUGGUGGGGUAAAGGCUCACCAAGCCGACGAUCUGUAGCUGGUCUGAGAGGACGAACAGCCACACUGGGACUGAGACACGGCCCAGACUCCAACGGGAGGCAGCAGUGGGGAAUUUUGGACAAUGGGCGAAAGCCUGAUCCAGCCAUGCCGCGUGCAGGAUGAAGGCCUUCGGGUUGUAAACUGCUUUUGUACGGAACGAAAAGGUUUGGCCUAAUAAGCUGAGCUCAUGACGGUACCGUAAGAAUAAGCACCGGCUAACUACGUGCCAGCCGCCGCCGUAA